RNAcentral lists this ribosomal RNA (486 nucleotides) under uncultured bacterium. RNAcentral describes it as "partial 16S ribosomal RNA". It matches the Rfam family "Bacterial small subunit ribosomal RNA", at positions 30 to 507 of the family's 1533-position model. The record is from RNAcentral.
AUUGAACGCUGGCGGCAUGCCUUACACAUGCAAGUCGAACGGCAGCACGGGUGCUUGCACCUGGUGGCGAGUGGCGAACGGGUGAGUAAUACAUCGGCACAUGUCCUGUAGUGGGGGAUAGCCCGGCGAAAGCCGGAUUAAUACCGCAUACGAUCUACGGAUGAAAGCGGGGGACCUUCGGGCCUCGCGCUAUAGGGUUGGCCGAUGGCUGAUUAGCUUGUUGGUGGGGUAAAGGCCUACCAAGGCGACGAACAGUAGCUGGUCUGAGAGGACGACCAGCCACACUGGGACUGAGACACGGCCCAGGCUCCUACGGGAGGCAGCAGUGGGGAAUUUUGGACAAUGGGCGAAAGCCUGAUCCAGCAAUGCCGCGUGUGUGAAGAAGGCCUUCGGGUUGUAAAGCACUUUUGUCCGGAAAGAAAUCCUUGGCCCUAAUACGGUCGGGGGAUGACGGUACCGGAAGAAUAAGCACCGGCUAACUACGUG